Molecule: transfer RNA, 72 nt
Filed under: Stenopsyche tienmushanensis
Lineage: Eukaryota; Metazoa; Arthropoda; Insecta; Trichoptera; Stenopsychidae
Description: tRNA-Gln
Source: RNAcentral
UAUAAGUAAGUGUAAGAUUUAGCACUAAAGAUUUUGAUUCUUUAAGAUUUAGGAGAAGCCUAAAAUUUAUAA